AUUGAACGCUGGCGGCAUGCCUUACACAUGCAAGUCGAACGGCAGCACGGGUGCUUGCACCUGGUGGCGAGUGGCGAACGGGUGAGUAAUACAUCGGAACAUGUCCUGUAGUGGGGGAUAGCCCGGCGAAAGCCGGAUUAAUACCGCAUACGAUCUACGGAUGAAAGCGGGGGACCUUCGGGCCUCGCGCUAUCGGGUUGGCCGAUGGCUGAUUAGCUAGUUGGUGGGGUAAAGGCCUACCAAGGCGACGAUCAGUAGCUGGCCUGAGAGGACGACCAGCCACACUGGGACUGAGACACGGCCCAGACUCCUACGGGAGGCAGCAGUGGGGAAUUUUGGACAAUGGGCGAAAGCCUGAUCCAGCAAUGCCGUGUGUGUGAAGAAGGCCUUCGGGUUGUAAAGCACUUUUGUCCGGAAAGAAAUCCUUGGCCCUAAUACGGUCGGGGGAUGACGGUACCGGAAGAAUAAGCACCGGCUAACUACGUG
RNAcentral lists this ribosomal RNA (486 nucleotides) under uncultured bacterium. Its description in RNAcentral is "partial 16S ribosomal RNA". It matches the Rfam family "Bacterial small subunit ribosomal RNA", at positions 30 to 507 of the family's 1533-position model. The record is from RNAcentral.